RNAcentral lists this long non-coding RNA (397 nucleotides) under Heterocephalus glaber (naked mole-rat). RNAcentral's name for it is "lncRNA (ENSHGLG00100043583.1)". Lineage: Eukaryota; Metazoa; Chordata; Mammalia; Rodentia; Bathyergidae. The record is from RNAcentral.
GAGGAGUAGAAUUUCAAAAGGGGAGACAUUCCAAGGACCUCGGUAAGGCGUGCACAGACCUGCCUGUCUGCAGCGGGCUGAUUCAUCGCGUUCCGUGCCACUCGGGACCUCGGUAGAGUGUGGGCAGACCUGCCGGUCUGCAGCGGGAUGAUUCAGCAUCUUCCAUGUGACUCGGGACCUUGGUAGGGCGUGCACAGACCUCCCUGUCUGCAGCAGGCUGAUUCGGCGUGUUCUGUGCGACUCGGGACCUCGGGUCACCACAUUGCCCAGACUGGGCCCAAGCUUGCCAUUCUCCUGCCUCAGCCUCCCAGAUUGCUGUGAUUACAGGGUCUCUGCCUGCCCUGAGCAGCCACUGCCCACUCCUCAUCCUAGAUUCCACUUCCUCUUUGGAGCCAGC